This 998-nucleotide long non-coding RNA is filed under the name Equus caballus (horse). RNAcentral describes it as "lncRNA (ENSECAG00000058669.1)". Lineage: Eukaryota; Metazoa; Chordata; Mammalia; Perissodactyla; Equidae. The record is from RNAcentral.
ACUGAGUAACUGUCAUUUUUUUGACUGACGACUGGCAAUCACUUUCUAACAGGCAAGAGAGAAUUGAUGGUUUCUUUCCCAGUGAAUCACUUGCCGAAUGGAUUGAUCCUGAGUUAUAGCUGAACAGAAUGAAAUGUGACCACUGAGAUGCAAUUCUUCCUGUAACAUAAACACAGAUAAUUCAGACUAAAUACCUUGGUGUAGGAGGCCACAAUGAAGAGGAAUAAACACCAGACCAGGAAUGAAGAGACUGGAUUCUGACACUAUGCUAUGCGUAUGUCCUUAGCUGAAUCGUCUCUGUGGCAGAGAGACUUCCUUGACAUUUAUGAUCAGAUUAUAUCAAAAGGAAACUCAGAGACUGAUAUGAAUAUUAAUAGAAGUAUUUUUACCUGUGGUGCUUGCAAGAGAAUCCAACCUUUGGAAGAACUGGACUUCAUAUAUAAAUAAUUUGUGUGAAUGAACCUGAUAUGACUGAAGAUGUCUAUGGGCAAGAGGGCCAAGAUUGCAGAAAAUGGAGCAGAAGAUGGGCUGUAGAGCAGCAAGGAAGACACAUGAGACAGAGACACGGACUGAUAUACUAAGGUACACCUUCUAAGGAGAGAGAGUCCUUUGCUGCUUGGCACCUACAGGAUCUGAGCUUUUAUUGAAUAGCUCUGAAAGGAAAAGUCUUAUCAAAGAAGACAAAACUCUUUUCCCCUUUUGAAUUCAAUGAUUCAAUGGUCCAAAGGCAGAGCAAAGGAGAAUUUUUAAGGUAUUUUAAAGAGAAUAAUAGAGAGAAGGAUGAGAGAGAUUUGAAGAGCUGCUAUGAAGACUGUGCAAAUGGAUGUAUAGAUGAGAUUUUUACAAUAUUUUGAUGUCUGUAAUAACACAGGCUUCCUUAUUUUGCCUCUUUAAGAGGCUCCAGUAAAUACUGUUUCUUUGAAUGACACUGAGCAUGAAAUGGCUUUUAUUGGAUUAAAUGCAUUUUACCAGCUUUUAGCUUUUCCAGUGGCCAUCCC